This 773-nucleotide ribosomal RNA is filed under the name uncultured bacterium. RNAcentral describes it as "bacterial SSU rRNA". It matches the Rfam family "Bacterial small subunit ribosomal RNA", at positions 8 to 798 of the family's 1533-position model. The record is from RNAcentral.
AGAGUUUGAUCAUGGCUCAGGACGAACGCUGGCGGCGUGCUUAACACAUGCAAGUCGAACGGAAAGGCCCUUCGGGGUACUCGAGUGGCGAACGGGUGAGUAACACGUGGGUGAUCUGCCCUGCACUUUGGGAUAAGCCUGGGAAACUGGGUCUAAUACCGAAUAGGACCACGCGCUUCAUGGUGUGUGGUGGAAAGCUUUUGCGGUGUGGGAUGGGCCCGCGGCCUAUCAGCUUGUUGGUGGGGUAAUGGCCUACCAAGGCGACGACGGGUAGCCGGCCUGAGAGGGUGACCGGCCACACUGGGACUGAGAUACGGCCCAGACUCCUACGGGAGGCAGCAGUGGGGAAUAUUGCACAAUGGGCGCAAGCCUGAUGCAGCGACGCCGCGUGAGGGAUGACGGCCUUCGGGUUGUAAACCUCUUUCAAUAGGGACGAAGCGCAAGUGACGGUACCUAUAGAAGAAGCACCGGCCAACUACGUGCCAGCAGCCGCGGUAAUACGUAGGGUGCGAGCGUUGUCCGGAAUUACUGGGCGUAAAGAGCUCGUAGGUGGUUUGUCGCGUUGUUCGUGAAAACUCACAGCUUAACUGUGGGCGUGCGGGCGAUACGGGCAGACUAGAGUACUGCAGGGGAGACUGGAAUUCCCGGUGUAGCGGUGGAAUGCGCAGAUAUCAGGAGGAACACCGGUGGCGAAGGCGGGUCUCUGGGCAGUAACUGACGCUGAGGAGCGAAAGCGUGGGGAGCGAACAGGAUUAGAUACCCUGGUAGUCCAA